CCAUUUUGUCGUCUAAAGAAAAAGAAUAUUAACUAAUUGAAAUGGAACAUAUCAACUUCAAAAAUUUGCUUUCAAUAAUUUGUAUUGCGAAGCGACGAAUAUAUCUACUACAAAUAUUGGAGAUUGGGCCUAUACAUAGCGUUCAUCGAGUUGAUGCGAUAAAUAUAUCAUUGUUCAAUGAAUGAUAGAAUUGUCAAAAUGCAGAAUUGUGGAUAAUUAAAUGCAAAUUUGUAAAUGGUGCAUUUUCAUACAGACAUUGUACGUAAUGGAGCUCAUAUUGUGAACAAGUCAGCGUGAUGAAUUGUGGACUUUCAUAAUAAGGUAAACUGAAAAAAGCAGCAAUGCAGUUUACACUCGGAGACGCAACGAUUAUUUUUGAAGAAUGAUAUAAACAGAAGAUUGUCUGUGUUUGAAAAACGGACCUUCUUUCAUUUUAGCGACAGACAAUUUGGAAUUGAAGAAACUACGAGCCUCCAGAAGCAAUGCAGAGCCAUUGAAAAAAUUGUAGACAAUAUAGAAGAAAAUCACGUUGCAUUAUAUAACCAUAAUCUAUAAAAUUUGUGAUGCUUUAUCAACGAGAAUCUCGUAUCAAUUGUCUAAUGACUGUAGAAUUAGCCUACCAAAUCCUACAUCGAUUACAUUGUAACAUUGUUUUUUACAUGAACCAUUUCCUCGACGAAGUCCAAUCAAUUUUUGUACAAUUUUUUAAAAAGAUUUUUAAGAAAGGUAAAAUUAAAGAAAGAAAGAAGAAAGGUGAAAGAAAUUAAAGUAAUGCAAUGUAGUUAAAAAUGUAAUUAUUUUACUUUAAAUUACUCAUAAAAAUAAAUUGUCAUUGUCGUUGUAUCGAGAAACUUCAAACUAUUUAGGGAAUAGUAAAGUUUUUAAAUUGUUUAAGCUUAAUUUAAA
Leptopilina boulardi is the source of this 906-nucleotide long non-coding RNA. RefSeq lists it as uncharacterized. The record is from RefSeq and is a predicted model, not a curated record. NCBI's taxonomy places the organism in Eukaryota, Metazoa, Arthropoda, Insecta, Hymenoptera, Figitidae. The transcript has 3 exons.